RNAcentral lists this ribosomal RNA (819 nucleotides) under Triticum aestivum (bread wheat). RNAcentral describes it as "partial small subunit ribosomal RNA". Lineage: Eukaryota; Viridiplantae; Streptophyta; Magnoliopsida; Poales; Poaceae. The record is from RNAcentral.
AUGGGCUGGAACCCGCCCCUUUGCGGAGCAUUUUUUGCGUUAUUCUCGAUCUGUGUCCGCCCACAGAUCUCCGUGGUUGUGGCCUUGGCUGACUUAGGCGCGAUUGCCUUCCGCUGUACCUUCGGGGCGGUGGAGCUUGAGCAAUGGGAUGAAUUGCUCAAGUGUAUUGCCCUCCACUCCCCCUCUCUGGAGCCCGACAUCCUAUCUUGGCACCUCGAGCCAAGCGGCAGAUUCUCGACUAGAUCCCUGUACCAGGCGAUUGUUCCCACUCCUGGUCCGGUGAAACUAUCGGUGCUUUGGGAGAUCAAACUCCCCUUGAUCCGCAUAUUUCUAUGGCAAUGGGUUAGAGGUCACCUUCCCUCGGGCACAGAUGUCCGUAAACGUAAUGGCCCUGGGGAUGGCCUCUGCCCCAUUUGUCUGGUACCGGAAGACUGCAACCACAUCUUCUUCCGGUGCCCGGCGGCGCAGUUCUUAUGGAGUUGCUUCCGGGAGGUGGUUGGUGGCAGUUGGUGCCAUGACAACCUCCCGAAUUUGUUUGGGGAGGUCCUUAGACUCCCCUGCACUAAUCGCGCCCCUAUUUGGGUGGCUCUGGGUACCCUUGCUUGGUCCCUUUGGUGUACCCGCAAUAAACUAGUCAUCGAACGCGUAAUUCCGUAUCGUGUGACUGAUGUGAUCUAUAAAAUGUGUGGCUUCUUACAGUUCUGGAGACCGCUUAGCAAGCGGCGCGACCGAGACGUCAUCGACAACAUCAUUGCGGGUCUUUGUUCCUCGACGUCGGCUUUUGUUCCACCACCACCACCACCUCCCGAGCCGGAUUAG